AUACGAAGGGUGCAAGCGUUAAUCGGAAUUACUGGGCGUAAAGCGCGCGUAGGUGGUUCGUUAAGUUGGAUGUGAAAGCCCCGGGCUCAACCUGGGAACUGCAUCCAAAACUGGCGAGCUAGAGUAUGGCAGAGGGUGGUGGAAUUUCCUGUGUAGCGGUGAAAUGCGUAGAUAUAGGAAGGAACACCAGUGGCGAAGGCGACCACCUGGGCUAAUACUGACACUGAGGUGCGAAAGCGUGGGGAGCAAACAGGAUUAGGUCCCCUGGUAGUCCAUGCCGUAAACGAUGUCGACUAGCCGUUGGGAUCCUUGAGAUCUUAGUGGCGCAGCUAACGCAUUAAGUCGACCGCCUGGGGAGUACGGCCGCAAGGUUAAAACUCAAAUGAAUUGGCGGGG
Molecule: ribosomal RNA, 396 nt
Filed under: uncultured bacterium
Lineage: Bacteria
Description: partial 16S ribosomal RNA
Rfam family: Bacterial small subunit ribosomal RNA
Source: RNAcentral